CACGUAGGGGGCGAGCGUUGUCCGGAAUCAUUGGGCGUAAAGAGCUCGUAGGCGGCUCAGUAAGUCGGGUGUGAAACCCCCAGGCUCAACCUGGGGACGCCACCCGAUACUGCUGUGGCUAGAGUCCAGUAGGGGAGUGUGGAAUUCCCGGUGUAGCGGUGAAAUGCGUAGAUAUCUGGAGGAAUACCGGUGGCGAAGGCGGCAUCCUGGACCGGCAUUGACGCUGAUGAGCGAAAGCUAGGGGAGCAAACGGG
RNAcentral lists this ribosomal RNA (254 nucleotides) under uncultured bacterium. Its description in RNAcentral is "partial 16S ribosomal RNA". It matches the Rfam family "Bacterial small subunit ribosomal RNA", at positions 524 to 776 of the family's 1533-position model. The record is from RNAcentral.